GAUCCAUAAAUAAGUACUUACAUUAAAAUAUCUCAAACUGAGUUACGAUACAUAAUUGCAGCAGUGGCAUGGCAUCAGCCAACAAAAUAGAAGCUAAUUCAGAGCUUCAUUACAGAUAAAACAAGAGUUCACAAAAGGGGAAUUAUCCAAGUAAGUCGAUAGUUGUAAACUGCUUCCUUUCCUUGCCAUGGCAUCAGCUUCUCUAAAUAUAUGCUUCAGGGUCCACUGCUGGAAACAGCAGUUGCAUCCAUCUCUUUUUCGACUUUGAGUAAUUGUUUAAGUGCCAGGUUAAUACCGUCCCACAACGCCGGCCGUCCCUGCUCCCGCUCACCCCGGGUUUCCCAAGGCUGAACCUUCUGUGUUGAUUUUGACGAAACCUGGCUUCAGUUUCCUCCAUCGGGUGGGUAUGCUGUUAGGAACAUUGGUCUUAAUUUCAUAGGCAGCUACAGCAAAAAUUUCUGCAGCUUUUUCAAUCAUCCUGUCAGUAAUGGAACUCAGAGUACUAAGGCAAAAGUCAAAGGGCAAGGGAGUUUCCGUCUACCGGUCCAUUCUUAUGCAUCGAUAUUUGGAUCAGGCCAUUCACUCCAAUCACUGUUCCAUGCUUGUCCAAACUUUAUAAAAUUUGCACUGGUUUCUAAAAUGUAAGUGUAAAUGUUUUUUUAGGUAUCAAUAUAUAGCUACCAUUUCCUUUGA
This 693-nucleotide long non-coding RNA is filed under the name Gossypium barbadense (sea-island cotton). Its description in RNAcentral is "long non-coding RNA (GBAR_LNC015763)". The record is from RNAcentral. Lineage: Eukaryota; Viridiplantae; Streptophyta; Magnoliopsida; Malvales; Malvaceae.